This 440-nucleotide ribosomal RNA is filed under the name uncultured bacterium. Its description in RNAcentral is "partial 16S ribosomal RNA". It matches the Rfam family "Bacterial small subunit ribosomal RNA", at positions 338 to 795 of the family's 1533-position model. The record is from RNAcentral.
CCUACGGGUGGCAGCAGUAAGGAAUAUUGCUCAAUGGGGGAGACCCUGAAGCAGCAACGCCGCGUGGAGGAUGAAGGUUUUCGGAUUUGAAACUCCUUUUGUUAAAGAAGUUAAUGACGGUAUCUAACGAAUAAGCACCGGCUAACUCCGUUCCAGCAGCCGCGGUAAUACGGAGGGUGCAAGCGUUACUCGGAAUCACUGGGCGUAAAGAGAGCGUAGGCGGGAUAGCAAGUCAGAUGUGAAAUUCUAGGGCUUAACCAUAGAAUUGCAUUUGAAACUGUUAUUCUAGAGUAUGGGAGAGGUAGGCGGAAUUCGUGGUGUAGGGGUAAAAUCCGUAGAGAUCAAGAGGAAUACUCAUUGCGAAGGCGACCUGCUAGAACAUCACUGACGCUGAUGCGCGAAAGCGUGGGUAUCAAACAGGAUUAGAUACCCGAGUAGUC